RNAcentral lists this unclassified non-coding RNA (2419 nucleotides) under Dimorphilus gyrociliatus. Its description in RNAcentral is "carboxylic ester hydrolase". The record is from RNAcentral. Lineage: Eukaryota; Metazoa; Annelida; Polychaeta; Dinophilidae.
UGUCAAGAUGAUGCAUAAACUUGGAUAUAUGAGUAUUUUCAGCCUAUAAGGAUCAGUUGCGAAUCGAUUGGGGGUAUUAAUUAAAACGCUUCGAGUUCUGCAUAGGCAAAACAUUCCAGCUCCUUUACAGUUUUAUUUUUUUUCUUUACUUCUUUCCCUUUCUGUUAAUUCUAUCUUUCAUUUUUUCUUCAUAAAAAAACCAUAUAUAGAAUUGGAAUUAUGAAAGAAUCGAUUUUACUUCUAGCUCUUCUCUCAUUAAUCCAAUAUUCUGUUGGAGUUAGUGUCUUGACUAACUACGGUAAGGUUAAGGGAAAGCGUAUAAAGAACGCCUUACCUCGUUUAAAGGAUGCAAAGAUUGUUACGAAAACUGUAGAUAUAUUCUACGAUAUUCCCUACGCCAAGUCUCCAAUUGCGAAAUUACGAUUUAAGGUAGGCCUAGUUUAUUCUUAAUAAUACUUUAACUUUGUACAGUUGAAAGUAUUGGCAUUGGUUAGCUAUUUAAAUCAUUAAUAUAUUUGUUCUAUUUUUCAAAAAACUACAAUUGUAAUUUAUCUCUUCCCUCCCACUCUUCUGCUCCUUCUUCCCCACCAAAAAAAAAGAAUCCUGAAGAACCAAAUGUCGAGAAUAUCGAUGGAAGAAGAAGAGAGUUUAGCGAAUGUCCUCAAAUAUCGAGAAUUGACGGCAAUGAAGAUUGUUUAAAGUUGGAUAUCUAUUCACCUUUUGAGGUUUGUUCAGAGUCUUUGUAUCUCUCUCUCUCUUUCUCUUAAGUUUAUUGUUCUUGGAUCAACCAAUUAAACGUCCAUAUUAAUGAUUAUUCAAUAUAGCGAAGUAAAAAUACAACUUAUCCCGUUAUGGUUUACAUACACGGCGGAUCGUAUAAGGCCGGAAGUAAAAACAUGUACGAUGGAACGGGAUUAUCUCAGUAUGGCGUUGUUGUUGUGACAAUCAAUUACAGAUUAGGCAUAUUUGGCUUCCUUACAGACGGAACUGACAGAUUAAGAGGUAAUUACGGUCUCGCUGAUCAAAUUCAGGCACUGAAAUGGAUAAAUAGAAAUAUUCGCGCCUUCAGAGGCAAUCCAAAUCGAAUCACUUUAUUCGGAAAUAGCGCUGGAGGUUCGAGCGUUGGUUUUCUAUCACUUUCACCAAUUGCUAAAGGCCUAUUCAAUAAUGCUGUUCUUCAAAGUGGUUCGCCCACGGCCCACUGGGCCUAUCAUAAUACAACAGCAAACUUAAAACGUCAAGCCAAUUUGGCAUUUAAGAAAUCGGCUUGCGAUCGAUCAACCUUCCAAGCGUCCAUUACUUGCCUUCGGAACAUUUCUGUUAAGAGUCUUAUAAAGCUUCAAUUAAAAUUCAUACAGGAUCGGUCGACGGAUGGUGGAACCUUUUCGCUAAAUGGAGAUGAUUUUAGACCGAACGUUGAUGGUAGAAUAAUCACCGACGAUCCCCUAAAUAUGAUUAAGAAGAAGAGAUGCGGCAAUGAAUUCUACGUUGUUGGGGUAACAAAAGACGAAUUUAGCGACAUGGUGGGGAUGAACUACGCCUUGGACAAUGUUAUUACCGAUACAAGCACUAGCAUGUUUGGAAUGGGAAGAUCUAGAUUUGAAAUAUAUGUCUCACAUGUUUUUGGUUCGGGUUUCGGUUGGGACAAUUCAAUAGUAGAUAUAAUUAAGUACGCGUAUACAGAUUAUUCUUUAAGAAAAGACCCAACCAACAACAGGAAACAAUACAUAAAAAUAAUGACUGAUAUGAUGUUGGUCGCUCCGGCUGUUCGUUAUGCUGAUCUUCUCCAAAGGAGGAAAUGCAGAGUAUACUUAUAUAAUUUCGAAUUUGCUUACGACGAAAGGGGUAGUUAUCAUCAGAUCGAAUUAGAAUAUCUCUUCUCUAGGCCCUUUCGUAAAAAGAAGCGUUCUCUCGAUCAGGACGGUGAACGCUACUACAACGAAAGUGACUUUAACGUCAGUCGAUUAGUCAUGGACAUUUGGACAUCGAUUGCCAAAUCUCGUAAAAAUCUACGCUUUGAUGGAUUUGAAUGGAAACCGUUCCGUCCUGGUGCUUAUUACAUAUCAAUCAAAGAGAGCGGAGUUAAAAAUUAUCAGCAUUUAAACGCCGACAAAGUAGCGUUCUGGAACGAACUGGUACCAAGAACAUUAAGAGGGAUAGAGAAGAUAAGAGGUCAUGUCAAGAAUGAAGAUAUCAACGAUAUUCAAAUGAUUUGGUUAUGGAUAACCGGGUCACUGCUAGUAUUAUUCUUUCUAAUAACUCUAGUACUUCUUACUUUCACCAUUAGAUUAAAAUAUUCCAACGAUCAGCUAAACCGUUCACCGUAUGCAACCACAGAUGGCGUUCGUUUAUAGAUUAAAGAAAUUUAAAGAGAGAGAAAGUUGUAGACAUGUUUUUUCAUAGAUUUUUUCAAAUAAAC